RNAcentral lists this ribosomal RNA (821 nucleotides) under uncultured bacterium. RNAcentral's name for it is "bacterial SSU rRNA". It matches the Rfam family "Bacterial small subunit ribosomal RNA", at positions 636 to 1454 of the family's 1533-position model. The record is from RNAcentral.
CCAAUCUAGAGUAUNGGAGAGGAAAGUGGAAUUCCUAGUGUAGCGGUGAAAUGCGUAGAUAUUAGGAAGAACACCNGUGGCGAAGGCGACUUUCUGGACGAAAACUGACGCUGAGGCGCGAAAGCCAGGGGAGCGAACGGGAUUAGAUACCCCGGUAGUCCUGGCCGUAAACGAUGGGUACUAGGUGUAGGAGGUAUCGACCCCUUCUGUGCCGGAGUUAACGCAAUAAGUACCCCGCCUGGGGAGUACGACUGCAAGGUUGAAACUCAAAGGAAUUGACGGGGGCCCGCACAAGCGGUGGAGUAUGUGGUUUAAUUCGACGCAACGCGAAGAACCUUACCAGGUCUUGACAUUGAUGGACAGAACUAGAGAUAGUUCCUCUUCUUCGGAAGCCAGAAAACAGGUGGUGCACGGUUGUCGUCAGCUCGUGUCGUGAGAUGUUGGGUUAGGUCCCGCAACGAGCGCAACCCCUAUCUUAUGUUGCCAGCACGUAAAGGUGGGAACUCAUGAGAGACUGCCGCAGACAAUGCGGAGGAAGGCGGGGAUGACGUCAAAUCAUCAUGCCCCUUAUGACCUGGGCUACACACGUACUACAAUGGGAGUUAAUAGACGGAAGCGAGAUCGCGAGAUGGAGCAAACCCGAGAAACACUCUCUCAGUUCGGAUCGUAGGCUGCAACUCGCCUACGUGAAGUCGGAAUCGCUAGUAAUCGCAGGUCAGCAUACUGCGGUGAAUACGUUCCCGGGCCUUGUACACACCGCCCGUCACACCACGAAAGUCGGAAGUGCCCAAAGCCGGUGGGGUAACCUUCGGGAGCCANCC